RNAcentral lists this long non-coding RNA (1141 nucleotides) under Pan paniscus (pygmy chimpanzee). Its description in RNAcentral is "lncRNA (ENSPPAG00000044339.1)". Lineage: Eukaryota; Metazoa; Chordata; Mammalia; Primates; Hominidae. The record is from RNAcentral.
UAAGAAAAUUAUUUUAAUAAAAUACUGUUUUAUCUAUUUUACCCACUAGGUUUUACUUGAAAAAUAGAAUUUUAUUGAUAAAAAAUAGAAAACUUCAAAUCUAUCACAACUCAUCAACAGUCUACUCCUUUUAUGUAUUGGAAGCUUGUCAACUUCUUUUUGAAAAGUUAAAGUCAAGUUAGAGCUAAGACCAUAAACAUAUGAAGACUGUCUGAGAAGACAUGACUGGAAACUGAAUAGGGCUGGGCGUGGUGGCUCGCACCUGUAAUCCCAACAAUUUGGGAGGCCGAGGUGGGUGGAUCACCUGAAGUCAAGAGUUCGAGACCAGCCUGGUCAACAUGGAGAAAUCCUGUUUCCACUAAGAAUACAAGAAUUAGCCAGGUGUGGUGGCAGGUGCCUGUAAUCCCAGCUACUCAGGUGGCUGAGGCAGGAGAAUUGCUUCAACCCGGGAGGCAGAGGUUGCAGUGAUCCAAGAUCAUGCCACUGCACUCCAGCCUGGGAGACAGAGAAAGACUCCAUCUCAGGGGGAAAAAAAAGAAAAGAAAGAAAAGAAAGAAACUGAAUAUACUCAUUUUUCUACAAUGAAUCUGAAAAAAAAAAAAAGAACCAAAUAUAGGAUUACUUGAAUGAGACAAAAAAGAUGGAAUUUGGAGGACAAGACAAGAGAUACUAAGAAGAGUAAACCCAAUAAACAGACUGCAGCACAGAAAGGGUCCAGGACCAGGGAGGUGGCUUGUUCAGGAAAGAGUUAACUCAACAGGUCUGGGAUAUUCAAAUCCCACACAUUUCGAAAAAAAGUUCUCUCCUCAUUGGCUCCUGGGAGAAAAUCUCUACGUCUUUGGACUAUUCUUCCAGGUAAGACUGUAUUCAUAUGUCUAAGUUCCUUUGGCCAUAGCAGAUAACUUAUGCUAACAAUGAAACUUGAGAGAGUAUUUGGGUCAUAAUGCAUCAGUUUGACUUCUGGAGGGGUUGGAGACAGAAUAAAGCCAACCAUGUGAUUGCUCCAUGCCUAUGUGGGCAGUUUGACAAAAAAAAAAAAAAAAAACCAAAAAACCCUGGAGAAUGAAGCUCAAGUGAGCUUCUCUGUUAGGAAAUAUUCCAUAUGUAUUGACACACAUCAUUGGUAAAAGAAUUAAAUGCU